UACGUAGGGUGCGAGCGUUGUCCGGAAUUAUUGGGCGUAAAGAGCUCGUAGGCGGUGUGUCACGUCGGCCGUGAAAACCUGCAGCUUAACUGUGGGCGUGCGGUCGAUACGGGCAUCACUGGAGUUCGGCAGGGGAGACUGGAAUUCCAGGUGUAGCGGUGAAAUGCGUAGAUAUCUGGAGGAACACCGGUGGCGAAGGCGGCAUCCCGGACCGAUACUGACGCUGAGGAGCGAAAGCCAGGGGAGCAAACGGG
This 254-nucleotide ribosomal RNA is filed under the name uncultured bacterium. Its description in RNAcentral is "partial 16S ribosomal RNA". It matches the Rfam family "Bacterial small subunit ribosomal RNA", at positions 524 to 776 of the family's 1533-position model. The record is from RNAcentral.